AGAGUUUGAUCCUGGCUCAGGAUGAACGCUGGCGGCGUGCUUAACACAUGCAAGUCGAACGAAGCACUUUAUUUGAUUUCCUUCGGGACUGAUUAUUUUGUGACUGAGUGGCGGACGGGUGAGUAACGCGUGGGUAACCUGCCUUGUACAGGGGGAUAACAGUUGGAAACGGCUGCUAAUACCGCAUAAGCGCACGGCAUCGCAUGAUGCAGUGUGAAAAACUCCGGUGGUAUAAGAUGGACCCGCGUUGGAUUAGCUAGUUGGUGAGGUAACGGCCCGCCAAGGCGACGAUCCAUAGCCGACCUGAGAGGGUGACCGGCCACAUUGGGACUGAGACACGGCCCAAACUCCUACGGGAGGCAGCAGUGGGGAAUAUUGCACAAUGGGCGAAAGCCUGAUGCAGCGACGCCGCGUGAGCGAAGAAGUAUUUCGGUAUGUAAAGCUCUAUCAGCAGGGAAGAUAAUGACGGUACCUGACUAAGAAGCACCGGCUAAAUACGUGCCAGCAGCCGCGGUAAUACGUAUGGUGCAAGCGUUAUCCGGAUUUACUGGGUGUAAAGGGAGCGCAGGCGGUCUGGCAAGUCUGAUGUGAAAAUCCGGGGCUCAACUCCGGAACUGCAUUGGAAACUGUCAGACUAGAGUGUCGGAGAGGUAAGUGGAAUUCCUAGUGUAGCGGUGAAAUGCGUAGAUAUUAGGAGGAACACCAGUGGCGAAGGCGGCUUACUGGACGAUAACUGACGCUGAGGCUCGAAAGCGUGGGGAGCAAACAGGAUAAGAUACCCUGGUAGUCCACGCCGUAAACGAUG
Molecule: ribosomal RNA, 805 nt
Filed under: uncultured bacterium
Lineage: Bacteria
Description: bacterial SSU rRNA
Rfam family: Bacterial small subunit ribosomal RNA
Source: RNAcentral